UAGUCAUAGGGGUAUAUCUAA
Molecule: non-coding RNA, 21 nt
Filed under: Caenorhabditis elegans
Lineage: Eukaryota; Metazoa; Nematoda; Chromadorea; Rhabditida; Rhabditidae
Source: RNAcentral